Molecule: ribosomal RNA, 465 nt
Filed under: Vreelandella stevensii
Lineage: Bacteria; Pseudomonadati; Pseudomonadota; Gammaproteobacteria; Oceanospirillales; Halomonadaceae
Description: partial 16S ribosomal RNA
Rfam family: Bacterial small subunit ribosomal RNA
Source: RNAcentral
CCUACGGGUGGCAGCAGUGGGGAAUAUUGGACAAUGGGGGCAACCCUGAUCCAGUCAUGCCGCGUGUGUGAAGAAGGCCCUCGGGUUGUAAAGCACUUUCAGUGAGGAAGAACGCCUGGUGGUUAAUACCCAUCAGGAAAGACAUCACUCACAGAAGAAGCACCGGCUAACUCCGUGCCAGCAGCCGCGGUAAUACGGAGGGUGCGAGCGUUAAUCGGAAUUACUGGGCGUAAAGCGCGCGUAGGUGGCUUGAUAAGCCGGUUGUGAAAGCCCCGGGCUCAACCUGGGAACGGCAUCCGGAACUGUCAAGCUAGAGUGCAGGAGAGGAAGGUAGAAUUCCCGGUGUAGCGGUGAAAUGCGUAGAGAUCGGGAGGAAUACCAGUGGCGAAGGCGGCCUUCUGGACUGACACUGACACUGAGGUGCGAAAGCGUGGGUAGCAAACAGGAUUAGAUACCCUGGUAGUC